Molecule: ribosomal RNA, 514 nt
Filed under: uncultured bacterium
Lineage: Bacteria
Description: partial 16S ribosomal RNA
Rfam family: Bacterial small subunit ribosomal RNA
Source: RNAcentral
GAUGAACGAUGGCGGCGUGCCUAAUACAUGUAAGUCGAGCGAACAGAUGAGAAGCUUGCUUCUCUGAUGUUAGCGGCGGACGGGUGAGUAACACGUGGGUAACCUACCUAUAAGACUGGGAUAACUCCGGGAAACCGGGGCUAAUACCGGAUAAUAUUUUGAACCGCAUGGUUCAAUAGUGAAAGACGGUUUCGGCUGUCACUUAUAGAUGGACCCGCGCCGUAUUAGCUAGUUGGUAAGGUAACGGCUUACCAAGGCGACGAUACGUAGCCGACCUGAGAGGGUGAUCGGCCACACUGGAACGGAGACACGGUCCAGACUCCUACGGGAGGCAGCAGUAGGGAAUCUUCCGCAAUGGGCGAAAGCCUGACGGAGCAACGCCGCGUGAGUGAUGAAGGUCUUCGGAUCGUAAAACUCUGUUGUUAGGGAAGAACAAAUUUGUUAGUAACUGAACAAGUCUUGACGGUACCUAACCAGAAAGCCACGGCUAACUACGUGCCAGCCGCCGCUGUAA